GACGAACGCUGGCGGCGUGCUUAACACAUGCAAGUCGAACGGAAAGGCCCUGCUUUUGUGGGGUGCUCGAGUGGCGAACGGGUGAGUAACACGUGAGUAACCUGCCCUUGACUUUGGGAUAACUUCAGGAAACUGGGGCUAAUACCGGAUAGGAGCUCCUGCUGCAUGGUGGGGGUUGGAAAGUUUCGGCGGUUGGGGAUGGACUCGCGGCUUAUCAGCUUGUUGGUGGGGUAGUGGCUUACCAAGGCUUUGACGGGUAGCCGGCCUGAGAGGGUGACCGGCCACAUUGGGACUGAGAUACGGCCCAGACUCCUACGGGAGGCAGCAGUGGGGAAUAUUGCACAAUGGGCGGAAGCCUGAUGCAGCAACGCCGCGUGCGGGAUGACGGCCUUCGGGUUGUAAACCGCUUUCGCCUGUGACGAAGCGUGAGUGACGGUAAUGGGUAAAGAAGCACCGGCUAACUACGUGCCAGCAGCCGCGGUGAUACGUAGGGUGCGAGCGUUGUCCGGAUUUAUUGGGCGUAAAGGGCUCGUAGGUGGUUGAUCGCGUCGGAAGUGUAAUCUUGGGGCUUAACCCUGAGCGUGCUUUCGAUACGGGUUGACUUGAGGAAGGUAGGGGAGAAUGGAAUUCCUGGUGGAGCGGUGGAAUGCGCAGAUAUCAGGAGGAACACCAGUGGCGAAGGCGGUUCUCUGGGCCUUUCCUGACGCUGAGGAGCGAAAGCGUGGGGAGCGAACAGGCUUAGAUACCCUGGUAGUCCACGCUGUAAACGGUGGGUACUAGGUGUGGGGUCCAUUCCACGGGUUCCGUGCCGUAGCUAACGCUUUAAGUACCCCGCCUGGGGAGUACGGCCGCAAGGCUAAAACUCAAAGGAAUUGACGGGGCCCCGCACAAGCGGCGGAGCAUGCGGAUUAAUUCGAUGCAACGCGUAGAACCUUACCUGGGUUUGACAUGGAUCGGGAGUGCUCAGAGAUGGGUGUGCCUCUUUUGGGGUCGGUUCACAGGUGGUGCAUGGCUGUCGUCAGCUCGUGUCGUGAGAUGUUGGGUUAAGUCCCGCAACGAGCGCAACCCUUGUUCACUGUUGCCAGCACGUUAUGGUGGGGACUCAGUGGAGACCGCCGGGGUCAACUCGGAGGAAGGUGGGGAUGACGUCAAGUCAUCAUGCCCCUUAUGUCCAGGGCUUCACGCAUGCUACAAUGGCUGGUACAGAGAGUGGCGAGCCUGUGAGGGUGAGCGAAUCUCGGAAAGCCGGUCUCAGUUCGGAUUGGGGUCUGCAACUCGAUCUCAUGAAGUCGGAGUCGCUAGUAAUCGCAGAUCAGCAACGCUGCGGUGAAUACGUUCCCGGG
This 1343-nucleotide ribosomal RNA is filed under the name uncultured bacterium. RNAcentral's name for it is "16S ribosomal RNA". It matches the Rfam family "Bacterial small subunit ribosomal RNA", at positions 28 to 1378 of the family's 1533-position model. The record is from RNAcentral.